AGAGUUUGAUCCUGGCUCAGGAUGAACGCUAGCUACAGGCUUAACACAUGCAAGUCGAGGGGAAACGACAUCGAAAGCUUGCUUUUGAUGGGCGUCGACCGGCGCACGGGUGAGUAACGCGUAUCCAACCUGCCCACCACUUGGGGAUAACCUUGCGAAAGUAAGACUAAUACCCAAUGACGUCUCUAGAAGACAUCUGAAAGAGAUUAAAGAUUUAUCGGUGAUGGAUGGGGAUGGCGUCUGAUUAGGCUUGGUUGGCGGGGUAACGGCCCACCAAGGCGACGAUCAGUAGGGGUUCUGAGAGGAAGGUCCCCCANAUUGGAACUGAGACCACGGUCCAAACUCCGUACGGGAGCA
Molecule: ribosomal RNA, 357 nt
Filed under: uncultured bacterium
Lineage: Bacteria
Description: bacterial SSU rRNA
Rfam family: Bacterial small subunit ribosomal RNA
Source: RNAcentral